This is a long non-coding RNA of Marmota monax (woodchuck), 3042 nucleotides long. RefSeq lists it as uncharacterized. Lineage: Eukaryota; Metazoa; Chordata; Mammalia; Rodentia; Sciuridae. The record is from RefSeq and is a predicted model, not a curated record. The transcript is spliced from 2 exons.
AGCCGGUCUUCAAAAACCAUUGAAGGUCCCAGGUCCUGGAGGUCGCACUGCUGGGGUGUCGCCGGGUCGCCCCCUGGGCGUAGCGUCCGCUCUGAAAGUCUAGGCUUGGGGUCCCGGGCAGGAGAGGAUCGGAGGAAGAUCGGCCGUCGGUUCCCCGCAGCAAAAGCGACAAAUGACCCCUGGUAGACCAGUGAGGGGUGCCAGGGAGUCCCCCCUGCGCUUGUCCUCAGCACAAUAGGCUCCGAGCCUACCCCAUUUCCAGACAUGGUGUCAUUUCAGAAUCGGGGUCUGUCGAAGGAGGGGUGGCACGUGGUUGAGUGUCUUUGGAGACAGGGUCUUGGAUAUAUCAAAGUCAGGAGGCUGUCCCUAAUUGAGACCUACUCAUGGUCGUGGCCCUGUGUCUCCUGGAAGGAGCAAGGCUCAGAGGAGCAUCUGCCUGGGGCUGAUGCUGAAGAACUGUGCACUCAUGACUUCAGUGCUCACCGUUUUCCUCUGCUUUUCCGGUGUUGCCCUUGGAAGUUGCCACUGGUGCUGGGAUGAAGGCACUGCCACCUCCUAUUCCUAGCAGCUACAUGAGCAUCCUCACACAUUCUACCCUGGGGUCCUGGGUGGUCAAGAUUGGGGGUACAAGUCUAAAUCUUCACAGCAGAUGAUGUCCAGCUCAGUCACUUUGUACAAAACGUCAGGCCCUGCCUGUACUAACAUGGUCAAUUUUGGGUCUACUGUACUUUUCCUGGGCGGUCUCCUGGACGUUCAGUUUGUGAAGUUCAGUGUUGUGCUCAAUGUACAGCUUAUUCUUACCCUCUGGUGUUUGUCCCAGGGUGUAUUGGCCUCUGCUGGGCAGUAUUCUUAAAAAUCUGUCAUCCCCAAGGUCUGGCUGCUUCAACAUUCCACUACCAAAAUCAGCUGUGGCAGACAGGCCAAAAGGAGACCUGUCCCUGGUGACCAUCCCUCAAGGUGGGUUGAUCUCACAUCUGCUUCCUGGUCCAUGCCGUCUCAGAUCUUGAGUGGUCAAGCUUCCUGUUUGGGAUGGGAACCAGAAAGAAAGAAGGCUCUGAAACAGCUUCAGGCUGCAGGGCAGCCUACUCUACUACCCAGCUUGUGAUUCAGCAGAUUCAACAUUUGAAAUGUGUGCAGCAAAUGAGAAUACUGUAUGGAUUGCAGAAACUCAGGCCGCUGAGGCAGGAGGAUUGCAGGUUCAAAGCCAGCCUCAGCAAAUUUAGCCCUACCUAACUGGGUGAGAUCCUGUCUCUUAAAAAAAAAAAAAAAAAAAAAAUAGAAAAAAAGGGCUGGGGAUGUGAUUCAGUGGUAAAGCACCUCUGGGUUCAAUCCCCCGUACAAAAAUAAAUAAAUAAAUAUAUAAACAAACAAACAAACCAGUAUGGAGCCUCCAGCAAGUAGCAAAGCACAACAGGAUUUAGGAGCAAGUCUGUACCUUCUCUACCUUGGAGAGACUUUCUAGCUUGCUACUGCACCUUUAGUAGCAAAUGAAUGCCUAUGAGCCAUCAGGCAACCAUGUGGCCUUAAUGCCAUCAUGAGCUGAGUAUUGUCGGGCCCUUGUAGCCCUGAGUCAGCUGGGCACAUGCAACAAUCUGCUGUUUUGUGAAAAUGGUCUGUUAGAGAUCAAGCCUCAAGACUUGUGGAGGGCUCAGUGGCAGAGCAUUUGUCCAGCAUGGGCAGCUCCCUGGGUUCAAAUCCUGUACUGAGAAGAACAAAAAAAGACUUGACUGAGGAAGAAGAGAGGGUACAUUUAUAGCAGAAAGGGGCCAUAUCACUAACCAAGCCAGGGACAGAUCAAUGGGAUCCGCUGGGCACACUGAAAGCCCAGCCCCCAAACCUUACCCCAUAAAACCUGAGGUGACAGCUGCUGAGGCUGCUUUCAGGGGCACUCAAGGGGAGCCAAGGACUGCGUGUGCACAGCCCCAGCACCCACAGCACCAGCCAAGGGAGCAGCGAGUGGUCCGAUGUCGGGCUGCACUGGCCUUCCCAAGUUCCCAGGGGUGAGGCAGCGUGCUGAGGAGGGCAGGAGGGACGGACUCAGUGAGCUUAAGAGCUCAAGGCUCUCCAGCAUCACCCCGUGGCACAGGCCUCUGAGCACACUGUGAAGCCUCUCCUCCUCCUGGGAAAAAUGCGUGGCCACAUCCUCAAGUGUCACCAAACCCUGCAAUGGAUGGGUUCAGCCGAUCCUGGGGGCAGAAGUAUGGACAGAUAGACCCUGCCAGGCCCUUGACUGGGAAGGGUUCUGCCACACUUCCACUGCAUCAAACUUCCCCAGAGGCCCACAGCACAGUGCACAUAUCCUGAUUCCACCUUCCUUCAGACCUGUUUCAGUCACCUUUUCACUGCUGUGACCAGAAGACCUGACAAGAAGAAGUAGAGAAGGAAAAGUUAUUUGGGGGGUUUUCCUUCAUAGAUGGCUACUCCAUUGCUUUGGGCUUGAAGUGAGGAAGGACAUCAUGGCAGAGGGUGUGGCAGAGGAAAGCAGCUCAGGGUAGCCCGGAAGCAGAAAGCUCCAUUCCACAAAGACACAAUAUAGGCCCCAAAGGCUGCUCCCAGUGACCCACCUCCUCUAGCCACACCCUACAGUUACCCCUCAAGUGGAUUAAUGCACCAAUUAGGUCAAGGCUUUCAUAACCCAAUCACUUCACUUCUGAACCAUCUUGUAUUGUCUCACAGCUGAGCUUUGGGGGCCCCUCAUAUCUAAACCAUAACAGCCUCUACCUCCGAGGGUCUGGUUGCUUCUUACUUUACUAUUAGACACUGUGUCCAGUCUGCAGUAACAAUAGGCAGGUGACCAGCCUCCCAGCAGCUGGGGAGGCUGAAGCAGGAGGAUGGCAAGUUCAAAGCCAGCUUGCAGAACUUAGUGAGACCCUGUCUCAAAGUAAAAUAUAAAAAAGGGGGGCUGGGGUUGUAGCUCAGUGGUAGAGUGCUUGCCUAGCAUGUGCAAGGCGCUGGGUUCAAUCCUCAGCACCAUGUAAAAAUAAUUAAAUAUAAAUAAAAGUAUUGUGUCCAACCAUAUAUAUAUAUAUAUAUAUGUAUAUA